CCAGAGGGUCGGGCGGUCGCCGCCGCGCUUGCGCGGGGGAGGAAAGUCCGGGCUCCACGGGAACACGGUGCCGGGUAACGCCCGGCGGGUUCGGUUCGCCGGACUUAGGGAAAGUGCCACAGAGAGCAGACCGCUCACCGUCCCGGCUUUUACGUCGGGGCAGGAGCAAGGGUGAAAGGGUGCGGCAAGAGCGCACCGCGCGACCGGCAACGGAAGCGGCAUGGCAAACCCCACCGGGAGCAAGAUCGAAUAGGGACCGCAUAUGGGGAGUUCCGCCUCGCGGUCCGGGUUGAUUGCUUGAGCCGUCACGUAAGUGCCGGCCUAGAGGAAUGGCCGCCCAUCGCCAGCACCUCCCACACGGGAAAGGGCGAGCGUGGACAGAACCCGGCUUACAGACCCUCUGGCAUU
Molecule: RNase P RNA, 408 nt
Filed under: Sphingomonas turrisvirgatae
Lineage: Bacteria; Pseudomonadati; Pseudomonadota; Alphaproteobacteria; Sphingomonadales; Sphingomonadaceae
Description: Sphingomonas sp. MCT13 Bacterial RNase P class A
Rfam family: Bacterial RNase P class A
About the family: Ribonuclease P (RNase P) is a ubiquitous endoribonuclease, found in archaea, bacteria and eukarya as well as chloroplasts and mitochondria.
Source: Rfam by way of RNAcentral